RNAcentral lists this ribosomal RNA (461 nucleotides) under uncultured bacterium. Its description in RNAcentral is "partial 16S ribosomal RNA". It matches the Rfam family "Bacterial small subunit ribosomal RNA", at positions 337 to 795 of the family's 1533-position model. The record is from RNAcentral.
GACUACGGGAGGCUGCAGUGAGGAAUAUUGGUCAAUGGGCGCGAGCCUGAACCAGCCAAGUAGCGUGAAGGAUGACUGCCCUACGGGUUGUAAACUUCUUUUAUAAAGGAAUAAAGUGAGGCACGUGUGCCUUUUUGUAUGUACUUUAUGAAUAAGGAUCGGCUAACUCCGUGCCAGCAGCCGCGGUAAUACGGAGGAUCCGAGCGUUAUCCGGAUUUAUUGGGUUUAAAGGGAGCGUAGAUGGGUUGUUAAGUCAGUUGUGAAAGUUUGCGGCUCAACCGUAAAAUUGCAAUUGAUACUGGCAGCCUUGAGUACAGUUGAGGUAGGCGGAAUUCGUGGUGUAGCGGUGAAAUGCUUAGAUAUCACGAAGAACUCCGAUUGCGAAGGCAGCUUACUAAACUGCCACUGACAUUGAUGCUCGAAAGUGUGGGUAUCAAACAGGAUUAGAUACCCCUGUAGUC